This 385-nucleotide ribosomal RNA is filed under the name uncultured bacterium. Its description in RNAcentral is "bacterial SSU rRNA". It matches the Rfam family "Bacterial small subunit ribosomal RNA", at positions 29 to 415 of the family's 1533-position model. The record is from RNAcentral.
AUUGAACGCUGGCGGCAUGCCUUACACAUGCAAGUCGAACGGCAGCACGGGAGCAAUCCUGGUGGCGAGUGGCGAACGGGUGAGUAAUAUAUCGGAACGUGCCCAGUGAUGGGGGAUAGCCCGGCGAAAGCCGGAUUAAUACCGCAUACGACCUACGGGUGAAAGCAGGGGAUCGCAAGACCUUGCGUCAUUGGAGCGGCCGAUAUCAGAUUAGCUUGUUGGUGGGGUAAAAGCCUACCAAGGCGACGAUCUGUAGCUGGUCUGAGAGGACGACCAGCCACACUGGGACUGAGACACGGCCCAGACUCCUACGGGAGGCAGCAGUGGGGAAUUUUGGACAAUGGGCGCAAGCCUGAUCCAGCCAUGCCGCGUGCGGGAAGAAGGC